UUUUUGCUAAAAGAACCCCAAAUGUCUAUAAAGAGUUUGGUUUGUCUGCAAUGUUGGAUAUCAAACUUGAAAAUAAUUUAGACUAUAGCAUGCUUGUUAUAUUAUAUUGCUUUUCAUUAGCGAUGUAGUUAGUUAAUUUACUUUGUUUCCUGUUAAAUCUUUCGUCGUAUAUCUACAACUGGUAUAGAGUCUCUGAUUAAAGUUAUACUAUCUUUCUAGGCGACUAAUACAUAAACUCUUUUA
Non-coding RNA from Schizosaccharomyces pombe (fission yeast), 243 nucleotides. Lineage: Eukaryota; Fungi; Ascomycota; Schizosaccharomycetes; Schizosaccharomycetales; Schizosaccharomycetaceae. The record is from the annotation of a GenBank genome assembly.